Molecule: ribosomal RNA, 301 nt
Filed under: uncultured bacterium
Lineage: Bacteria
Description: partial 16S ribosomal RNA
Rfam family: Bacterial small subunit ribosomal RNA
Source: RNAcentral
CAGUAGCCACGGUAAUACGUAGGUGGCGAGCGUUGUCCGGAAUCAUUGGGCGUAAAGGGAGCGCAGGCGGGCACGUAAGUCUUUCUUAAAAGUUCGGGGCUCAACCCCGUGAUGGGAAAGAAACUACAUGUCUUGAGUACAGGAGAGGAAAGCGGAAUUCCCAGUGUAGCGGUGAAAUGCGUAGAUAUUGGGAGGAACACCAGUGGCGAAGGCGGCUUUCUGGACUGCAACUGACGCUGAGGCUCGAAAGCCAGGGGAGCGAACGGGAUUAGAUACCCCUGUAGUCCCUGUCUCUUAUACA